Podarcis lilfordi (Lilford's wall lizard) is the source of this 76-nucleotide non-coding RNA. The record is from the annotation of a GenBank genome assembly. Lineage: Eukaryota; Metazoa; Chordata; Lepidosauria; Squamata; Lacertidae.
GGCAUGGGAUAGAUUCAGCUGGUGGAGCAUGAGACUCUGACUCUCAGGUUUGUGGGUUCGAACCCCAUGUUGGCCA